Molecule: ribosomal RNA, 3810 nt
Filed under: Triticum aestivum (bread wheat)
Lineage: Eukaryota; Viridiplantae; Streptophyta; Magnoliopsida; Poales; Poaceae
Description: partial small subunit ribosomal RNA
Rfam family: TPP riboswitch aptamer (THI element) (bases 2311-2445)
Source: RNAcentral
GCCGCACCCUCUAUAAAAAAUCUCACUCUCGGCACCACUGACCAGGUGCGCACUCCCAUCCCUUCUCCUCACCGUCAGCAACGCUUCCGGCUGCCCUCCCGCGCCGCUCGCCGGAUCCGCCGUUUCUCAGGAAAUGGCCGCGCUGCAACCAUCGUUCUCUUCACUAAUGGCUAUGAACAAUAGCUGCAACACCAUGAAAUUCCCCAAGACUGCACUUUUGCCUGGUUUCGGUGGCAUUUCGCGCCCUCAAGAUGUGCAGGACAGGAAUGCUAGCCUCACCUGUUCAAGGCCCAAGGCAGUUUCAGUGACUGAUCAGUCAGUAGCAGAGCCAGCAAAACCCAGGCAAACGAAACACACAGUUGAUCCUGCUGCUCCCGAAUUUCUGCCGCUCCCAGCAUUUGAAGACUGCUUCCCACGGAGCACCAAAGAAUGCAGUGAAGUCGUUCAUGAGGAAACAGGUCAUGCCCUGAAGGUUCCAUUUCGGAGAGUCCAUUUGACCGGAGAUAGCGGGCAUUUCGACACAUAUGACACCAGUGGUCCACAAAACAUAAGCCCAAGGCUCGGACUCCCAAAGAUAAGAAAGGAAUGGAUUGACAGGAGAGAGAAGUUGGGUAGUCCUCGUUACACGCAAAUGUACUAUGCUAAGCAGGGAAUCAUAACAGAGGAGAUACUGUACUGUGCCAAACGCGAGAACCUUGCUCCUGAAUUUGUCCGGUCAGAAGUCGCCCGUGGACGAGCCAUUAUCCCUUCCAACAAGAGGCACCUGGAAUUGGAACCCAUGAUUGUUGGAAGAAACUUCCUUGUAAAGGUGAAUGCUAACAUUGGGAACUCUGCUGUUGUGAGCUCCAUUGAGGAGGAAGUCCACAAGCUCCAGUGGGCCACAAUGUGGGGAGCAGAUACUGUCAUGGACCUUUCAACAGGGCGCCAUAUCCAUGAGACCCGGGAAUGGAUUAUUCGUAACUCUUCGGUUCCUAUUGGAACUGUUCCUAUUUACCAAGCACUUGAGAAAGUUAACGGUAUUGCUGAAGAUCUGAGCUGGGAAGUCUUUAGGGACACUUUAAUUGAACAAGCCGAGCAGGGUGUUGAUUACUUCACCAUCCACGCUGGUGUGCUGCUUCGAUAUAUUCCUCUCACAGCAAAGAGAAUGACCGGCAUAGUUUCUCGUGGUGGAUCAAUCCAUGCAAAAUGGUGCUUGACGUAUCACAAGGAGAACUUUGCUUAUGAGCACUGGGAUGACAUUCUUGACAUAUGUAACCAGUAUGAUGUGGCAUUAUCUAUUGGUGAUGGCCUGAGGCCUGGUUCCAUUUAUGAUGCUAAUGAUAGUGCUCAGUUUGCAGAACUGCUGACUCAGGGGGAACUAACUCGCCGAGCAUGGGAGAAAGAUGUGCAGGUGAUGAAUGAAGGUCCUGGGCAUAUUCCGAUGCAUAAGAUUCCUGAAAAUAUGGAGAAACAGCUGGAGUGGUGCAACGAAGCACCUUUCUAUACGUUGGGUCCAUUGACCACUGAUAUUGCACCUGGUUAUGAUCACAUCACCUCAGCCAUUGGUGCUGCCAACAUUGGGGCUCUUGGCACUGCACUUCUUUGUUAUGUAACACCAAAGGAGCACCUUGGGUUGCCUAACAGGGAUGAUGUUAAGACAGGUGUGAUAUCCUACAAAAUCGCUGCUCAUGCUGCUGAUUUGGCAAAGCGUCACCCCUAUGCACAAGCAUGGGAUGAUGCACUAAGCAAGGCAAGGUUUGAGUUUAGAUGGUUGGACCAAUUUGCUUUAUCCCUGGAUCCAGUUACUGCAAUGUCUUUCCAUGAUGAAACACUGCCGUCUGAUGGCGCCAAAGUAGCACAUUUCUGCUCAAUGUGUGGUCCCAAGUUUUGCUCGAUGAAAAUCACCGAGGAUAUUAGAAAGUAUGCUGAUGAACAUGGUUACGGGACAGUAGAGGAAGCGGUGAGACAAGGAAUGAGUGAGAUGAGUGCUGAAUUUUUGGCUGCAAGAAAAACAAUUAGUGGCGAACAACAUGGUGAAGCUGGAGGGGAAAUCUAUGUGCCAGAAAGCUACGUAGUUCAGAAAUAAGAUGUCCUUGGCAGCCGUCUGAUCCAAGUGAUGCAGAUUUGGUGGCUAGGUCGUUUGUCAGCAGCACUUCUACCAUCUUCUGUUAGGAGGUGGUAAGCAGGAUAUAUGCCUCAAUAAAGCUACUGCUGCUUAGCGUCAGUUCUUAAUGUCAUUAUGGAUUAUGGGUUGUAAUAAAAGUGAACUCUAUGUUGUGUUACUUAUGUUAUAAUUGUCUUUGCAUAUCAUUAUGGGAUUGCUAGUGAUGAAAGUUGCACCAGGGGUGCUUGUAUUCCCAACGAUCUUAAGGCCCCUUGGCCUGGAUUGUUGCGAUAUGGGCUGAGAAAGUCCCUUUGAACCUGAACAGGAUAAUGCCUGCGAAGGGAGUGUGCAUUUUUAUUUUCAUGUUUCCCAGGAUACACUCAACCCUCGACAUUCUGGAAAUCGAGGGACCAAGUUUUCCUGAAUGUGUGGAGCGCAUCUACUGGAUAUGCAUGUUUCCUACUCUGAAGUAACAUGGUAAUGUACACGAUUUCUUGAACCAGCAUACAUAUUGGUAUUUCUCCAAGAGGAGAGAAUAUUUACAGGCAUAGUGUUACCAUGGAACACAUAAAAUUUAGUCAACAUGGAACACAUAAAAUUUAGUCAUACGUGUGGCUAGUUUAGUCAAACUUCAUAAGCCCAUAAUUUUUUUGAGGAAUCCCAUUACAUCUCGCAAAGCAUUCACAAUGUCCUGUGUAAUUUACUUUUUACACCUAUCCUUGUACAUAUUUCUAUAUAAGUAGAAUAUAAAAGAUGUAACUAGAUUGACAGAUUGGAAUGGUUAUGUGCAUGCCACUUGUCAGUUGAGAACAAAUGCACCAGCAAAACUCUUUUUGACUUGAUUAUGUGAAAUGUGCCUACUAAGAAUUAUGUUUUGCAGUGUCUAAGAUACUGCUCAUCGUGAACUAUUCUUUUGGUUGUUCCCAUUUUGAUGGUCAAACAUUUUCAUGUACAUCAUAAACUUUUUCACAUGGACGGUUUCAACUUAAUCAUUCGUGCAUGCCUAACUGUGUAUCUACAUUGUAAACUUGGCAGCACUUUAGUGCUGGACUGCUGGUCCUGCCUGGUUUAUGAUAACAAGUCUGCCUCCAGAAGUUAAUGCAUUUCAUACUUGUUUGAUUUACUGCUUAGUUCACGACCGCAGUUAGUCAUACUGGAGAAAUAUGGCAAAUCGGCGCACACCUGUCAGCCGCGCAAGCAUGGUGAAUAACACACACAAGCUUGUGGUGUAUCUACUAUCCACCAUAAAGGCCCAUAUGUUUAUCCUUGGACGCCAUUGUGUUGUCUAAGACAUGAUUUUAGUUUUACCUUCUGAUGUGUGAGACACAUGUUUCUUAGUCAAUUUCUUACUCCCUCCGAGUAUAAUAUAAGAUGUUAUUACAACCAAUGUAUUCAUCGGUUGUAAUAACAUCUUAUAUUAUGGGACGGAGUGAGUACUUGCCACUCCACUUUUUGGUAGUGUAUUCUAUGACCCAAAAUACCAUGAAUGACGCCAACCGAGAAUUGUGGGUAAAAUAUGUGAGAAAGGUGGAGCUGGUGGCUUUGGUCUUUAGUGGGUUUUGCAUCUGCCGUCCGAUGCGAUUGUGCUGGUAGGGUGUUGGUUUUAAAUUCCUACAGAGCUGAGCUAUGCACAUUAUUUCUCUGAUACCGCGGCUCCGGUUCUCACCGUUGCUUUUCACGUUUGAAGUUCCAUACAAAGGGAUUCUUCACAAGUUCAGGUGUUAACU